UCUCCUGGAAAACGGGUGGUAAUGCCGGAUGCUCCAUCACACCGCAUGGUGUGUUGGGAAAGCCUUUGCGGCAUGGGAUGGGGUCGCGUCCUAUCAGCUUGAUGGCGGGGUAACGGCCCACCAUGGCUUCGACGGGUAGCCGGCCUGAGAGGGCGACCGGCCACAUUGGGACUGAGAUACGGCCCAGACUCCUACGGGAGGCAGCAGUGGGGAAUAUUGCACAAUGGGCGCAAGCCUGAUGCAGCGACGCCGCGUGAGGGAUGGAGGCCUUCGGGUUGUAAACCUCUUUUGUUAGGGAGCAAGGCAUUUUGUGUUGAGUGUACCUUUCGAAUAAGCACCGGCUAACUACGUGCCAGCAGCCGCGGUAAUACGUAGGGUGCAAGCGUUAUCCGGAAUUAUUGGGCGUAAAGGGCUCGUAGGCGGUUCGUCGCGUCCGGUGUGAAAGUCCAUCGCUUAACGGUGGAUCCGCGCCGGGUACGGGCGGGCUUGAGUGCGGUAGGGGAGACUGGAAUUCCCGGUGUAACGGUGGAAUGUGUAGAUAU
This 542-nucleotide ribosomal RNA is filed under the name Bifidobacterium breve. RNAcentral's name for it is "bacterial SSU rRNA". It matches the Rfam family "Bacterial small subunit ribosomal RNA", at positions 146 to 697 of the family's 1533-position model. Lineage: Bacteria; Bacillati; Actinomycetota; Actinomycetes; Bifidobacteriales; Bifidobacteriaceae. The record is from RNAcentral.